GAAGUGGAUACAUGAAGAGGAAAAAUGGAAAACUGAAUAUUGUGCAUUUAUCACCCAUAAACCGCCAUUAAAAUAGACUUUACAUUAGACAAAAACAAUUUUGAUACACCAGAAAUUGUGCACGUGACCAUAGUUGCUCCUAAAAUAUAAGAAACUAGUAACAAAUCAAACUUGCACCUAAACUCACGGUUAUUUAUUGAUAAAAACAACAAAAGAAAUAUAUCUAACAUUAUUUGCAAUGGUGGAACAGAAAUUCUAAGCAUGAAUACUAGCUUCCAACAGAGUAACAAGCAAACAGAAGACACUGAACCUAACUUUUCCCCUAAUUUUCAUUCAAGCGGUCAAAUGAAAUAUGGUGGAGUUAUCUAUUCAAUAGACCAUUGAUCAAUAUUAUAGGGUAGUUUUCUAAAAUUUUGUGCAAGAAACAUCUCAGUUCCACACAAUAUAUGAUAUACGAAUGUUAAUGAAAUUCUGAGUAAAAACAAAUUGGGCAACUCACUUAUGAACCUCAUGGACCAUCCCUGUAUAUAAUGCAAGACUAAGUGCAGCUCACAACCCAGCCUAAAAGUGAAUUACACUUUUGUCUAACUCGAGAUCAGGAUAAUUGAGUCACAGCCAAUACACAACUACAUAGCAAAACCAGCACCAGGAAAAAGUGAUGGAUGCAAAGCUCCUUUCCUCAUGAUUAUAAAUCAAUUCAUUCAGGCUCAUAACUUAGGCCUGAGCCUAACUCUGCCCAAUAGCAAACUUAUGAGAAGAGGAUUGUCUAAACCACUAGUUUGUUUUUUUUUUUUUUUUU
This 799-nucleotide long non-coding RNA is filed under the name Trifolium pratense (red clover). RNAcentral describes it as "long non-coding RNA (TPRA_LNC007684)". The record is from RNAcentral. Lineage: Eukaryota; Viridiplantae; Streptophyta; Magnoliopsida; Fabales; Fabaceae.